Long non-coding RNA from Prunus persica (peach), 740 nucleotides. RefSeq lists it as uncharacterized. The record is from RefSeq and is a predicted model, not a curated record. Lineage: Eukaryota; Viridiplantae; Streptophyta; Magnoliopsida; Rosales; Rosaceae. The transcript has 2 exons.
UAUGUUGUAAAAGUACUGACUGGAUUUUGAAGAGUUCUGUGCCACUGCAUUAAGUGUUCAUCAGCUCGAGGCACUUGAUCAUUGCGAACAACAUGCUCGAUGUGCAUAUGAACUUUUUGAGAGAGAUAGAAACAGAGCAAUUGUCAUUGAAGAACUUGCUUCAGAACUUGGAUUUGGUCCCUCAAUCCCGCUUCUUGUGGUUCUCCAUGACUGGAUUAGGCACACUGAUGGGAACUUGGAUUUGUUGCAUGGCGUGUCCAGCCAGAUGUUUGUGAAGGCACAGUGAAGAUAUAGAGCAUUAUUUGUGUAUGCGUUUUAGCCAAACGAGAUGUGCUAUGUGUUGAUAGACAUGGUGAUUGUGCCCAAUGAUUGAAUUUCAAGAUUUGGAGAUCUGGCAAGAUGGCCAAUUUACAAUCUGCUUUGGCACACAAUGAAUGAGGCUUCCCUGCCAAUUGGUGGAGAGGGGUUUGAGCUUCCCAUACACUGCAGGUGCAAGCUUGGUUACCAGUUUGAAUUCUGUGUUGUUGAUACUCUGAGUGUAAAGCUGUAGUUAGUUUGCCUAAAUGGGUAAUUACAUAUUCUUCAAUUCCUUAGAUGCAUUGUACACGUUAAAUUAACCUCUUCUCCAACAUCUGUCUAGUUCUUGUGAAACAUGCUUGAAUUGCCUCAGUGUUGUAGAACUCCUCUGUGGCUUCAACUGAAAACUAAGCUUACUUUUCAGAGCGAUGCAUCUAACUCAG